Molecule: ribosomal RNA, 492 nt
Filed under: uncultured bacterium
Lineage: Bacteria
Description: partial 16S ribosomal RNA
Rfam family: Bacterial small subunit ribosomal RNA
Source: RNAcentral
AGUGAACGCUGGCGGUAGGCCUAACACAUGCAAGUCGAACGGCAGCACAGUAAGAGCUUGCUCUUACGGGUGGCGAGUGGCGGACGGGUGAGGAAUACAUCGGAAUCUACUUUUUCGUGGGGGAUAACGUAGGGAAACUUACGCUAAUACCGCAUACGACCUACGGGUGAAAGCAGGGGAUCUUCGGACCUUGCGCGAUUGAAUGAGCCGAUGUCGGAUUAGCUAGUUGGCGGGGUAAAGGCCCACCAAGGCGACGAUCCGUAGCUGGUCUGAGAGGAUGAUCAGCCACACUGGUACUGAGACACGGUCCAGACUCCUACGGGAGGCAGCAGUGGGGAAUAUUGGACAAUGGACGCAAGCCUGAUCCAGCCAUACCGCGUGGGUGAAGAAGGCCUUCGAGUUGUAAAGCCCUUUUGUUGGGAAAGAAAAGCAGCAGGUUAAUACCCCGCUGUUCUGACGGUACCCAAAGAAUAAGCACCGGCUAACUUCGUG